Molecule: ribosomal RNA, 433 nt
Filed under: uncultured bacterium
Lineage: Bacteria
Description: partial 16S ribosomal RNA
Rfam family: Bacterial small subunit ribosomal RNA
Source: RNAcentral
AACGAACGCUGGCGGCAUGCCUAACACAUGCAAGUCGAACGAGACCUUCGGGUCUAGUGGCGCACGGGUGCGUAACGCGUGGGAACCUGCCCUUAGGUUCGGAAUAACUCCCCGAAAGGGGUGCUAAUACCGGAUAAUGUCUUCGGACCAAAGAUUUAUCGCCUUUGGAUGGGCCCGCGUUGGAUUAGCUAGUUGGUAGGGUAAAAGCCUACCAAGGCGACGAUCCAUAGCUGGUCUGAGAGGAUGAUCAGCCACACUGAGACUGAGACACGGCCCAGACUCCUACGGGAGGCAGCAGUGGGGAAUAUUGGACAAUGGGCGAAAGCCUGAUCCAGCAAGGCCGCGUGAGUGAUGAAGGCCGUAGGGUUGUAAAGCUCUUUUACCCGGGAUGAUAAUGACAGUACCGGGAGAAUAAGCUCCGGCUAACUCCGUG